Molecule: transfer RNA, 72 nt
Filed under: Arcobacter sp.
Lineage: Bacteria; Pseudomonadati; Campylobacterota; Epsilonproteobacteria; Campylobacterales; Arcobacteraceae
Also listed under: 1 other name
Description: tRNA-Gln
Rfam family: tRNA
About the family: Transfer RNA (tRNA) molecules are approximately 80 nucleotides in length. Their secondary structure includes four short double-helical elements and three loops (D, anti-codon, and T loops).
Source: RNAcentral
GGACGUAUGGUGUAAUGGUUAGCACAUUGGACUUUGAAUCCAAUAAUCCGAGUUCAAUUCUCGGUAUGUCCU